GGCCGGGCGGGGCUGUGGGGGGGGGGCGACGCAGCUGUUAGCUCCGCCUCCUCGCUGCGCCCCUAGGCUUCAGACCCCCGCACCUUGGAGCUGCAGCUCCCGCCUUUUCUUCCUCACUUAGCGGCGGAGCAAGCUUUCCAGACUCGUCAGUGGCUUUUUUGGGGGAUAAAGACACAAAUCCUCGCUGGGCCCCGAAGCCCUGGGGACCCGAGCCCUGCGGCCUCCCGGCCUCCCCCCUCCUCUUCCCCGCCCGCCCCUCCGCCCCAGCCAUCCUGGCCUUCUGCCGCACCCUACCUUGCCCCGGGCUUUGGCCCAGCCUGCGCCCCGGGCCUAGCCAGUCCUGCUCCCCGGGCCUAGCCACUCCUACCCCCCCGCUCCCCCUCCGCCUUCUCCAGCCCCAGUCUCUCCUCUGCUGCAGCUGCCCUCCCCAGCUCCGCGCACCCGGGCCAAUUCCCAGAUCAAGGCCCGGGGGAAAUUUGGCUCUCGCCGCCGCCUCCGGGGUCCACAGCCCCACCCCCCGUCAUGUGAUCAAGAACAGGCCUUGCUUCCCCGGACUCCAGUGGCUCAGCUCUGACCCCACCACUGCCCUGAGGAACCCCAGAUGCGGAGCCUUGAGUUCAAACCCAGCCCUCUAACGGACACAUCUGUGGCCGCCCUGGGAGAUCAGCCCAUUCGUGUGCUUGCAAAACAGCCCAGCCUGCUUUGGGAGAACGCUGCUGAUUUGCCAGCAUGAGCUGGGGCUGCUUGGUGGACGUUGAACCUCCCCUGCCCUCCCUGCAAGAUAGAGUCCAAUGGCAACCCAUUCCAGUAUUCUUGCCUAGAGAAUCCCCUGGACAGAGGAGCCUGGUGGGCUGCUGUCCUUGGGGUUGCAAAGAGUCGGACACGACUGAAGCAACCUAGCACACAUGCAGCAUUGGAGAAGGAAAUGGCAACCCACUCCAGUGUUCUUGCCUGGAGAAUCCCGUGGACAGAGGAGCCUGGUGGGCUGCCGUCUAUGGGGUUGCACAGAAUCAGACACGACUGAAGCGACUUAGCAGCAGCAGCAGAUAGAAUCCAAUGACUGCCCGCUGCUGAAAGAUGAGGACCUGUUUCUGUUAGACCUGACACCCCCACACUUGCUCCCCUGCUCUGUCCUCCCAGGGCGAUCACAGCCCUUUAGGUCUCUCUCACUUGUGACAG
Long non-coding RNA from Bos taurus (domestic cattle), 1179 nucleotides. NCBI's taxonomy places the organism in Eukaryota, Metazoa, Chordata, Mammalia, Artiodactyla, Bovidae. The record is from Ensembl.